GGCGGAUUUUGGGGUGGGAUUUGCUGAUUUUGGGGUGGGAUUUGCCGAUUUUUGGGAAGAAUUUGCCAAUUUUGCUGGGAACGCUCGAUUUUUUUCGGGGGAUUUUCGGGGCGUGACUCCAGGUUUUGGGGUGUCCCUCACCUGGGGUGACCUCGGAGAUGUGACAUUCCUCCACGGCCCCCGAGGGACUGUGAACUUUGGCGUCCAGGGCGGCGUCACUCGGGGCCGUGGCCGUCACCACGAAGGGGCUCUCGGGGAUGUGCUCGUCGUUGAACUUCACCGACACCUCGUAGUCACCUGGGGGAGAGUGGGAUUGGCUGUGACCCCGAAAAUCCCAAAAAUCCCAUCCCCAAAACCCCAAAAACCUGCUCCAAAAAUUCCCAAAAUCCCAACUCAAAAAUCCCCUAAAACUCGGCUCUGUCCCCUCUCUGGCCCCUCUCUCGGGGAUGUGCUGCCAUUGAACUUCACUGACACCUCGUAGUCACCUGAGAGAGGAUGGGAUUAGGGUUUGGGGCCUGUGACCCUAAAACCCUGCCCUAAAAACCCCAAAAACCUGCUCCAAAAAUCCCCAAAAUCCCAACUCAAAAAUCCCCUAAAACUCGGCUCUGUCCCCUCUCUCGGGGCUGUUGUUGAACUUCACCGACACCUCGUAGUCACCUGGGGGAGAGUGGGAUUGGCUGUGACCCCAAAACCACCACAAAUCCCAUCCCAAAAACCCCAAAAUCCCAUCCCAAAAACCCCAAAAUCCUGGCUCAAAAAAUCCCAAAAUCCCAACCCAAAAUCUCCUAAAACUCGGCUCUGGCCCCUCUCUCGGGGAUGUGCUCGUCGUUGAACUUCACCGACACCUCGUAGUCACCUGAGAGGGGUUUGGGAUUGGCUGUGACCCCAAAACCCCAAAAUCCCAUCCCAAAAACCCCAAAAUCCCAUCCCAAAAACCCCAAAAACCUGCUCCAAAAAUCCCCAAAAUCCCAACUCAAAAAUCCCCUAAAACUCGGCUCUGUCCCCUCUCUCGGGGCUGCGCUGUUGUUGAACUUCACCGACACCUCGUAGUCACCUGAGAGGGGUUUGGGAUUGGCUGUGACCCCAAAACCACCACAAAUCCCAUCCCAAAAACCCCAAAAUCCCAUCCCAAAAACCCCAAAAUCCUGGCUCAAAAAAUCCCCAAAAUCCCAACCCAAAAUCCCCUAAAACUCGCAGUCACCUGGGAGAGGAUGGGAUUAGGGUUUGGGGCCUGUGACCCUAAAACCCUGCCCUAAAAACCCCAAAUACCUGCUCAAAAAAAUCCCAAAAAUUGCACCCCAAAAACCCCAAAAACCUGCUCAAAAAAUCCCCAAAAUCCCAACCCAAAAUCCCCUAAAACUCGGCUCUGUCCCCUCUCUCGGGGAUGUGCUCGUCGUUGAACUUCACCGACACCUCGAAGUCACCUGAGAGGGGUUUGGGAUUGGCUGUGACCCCAAAACCCCAAAAUCCCAUCCCAAAAAUCCCAAAAUCCCAUCCCAAAAACCCUAAAAACCUACUCAAAAAAUCCCAAAAAUCCCAACCCAAAAUUGUCUAAAACUCGGCUCUGUCCCCUCUCUCGGGGCUGCGCUGUUGUUGAACUUCACCGACACCUCGUAGUCACCUCGGAGGGGUUUGGGAUUAGGGAAGGGGGUCUGAUCCCAAAAAACCCC
This 1670-nucleotide long non-coding RNA is filed under the name Camarhynchus parvulus. RNAcentral's name for it is "lncRNA (ENSCPVG00000017437.1)". The record is from RNAcentral. Lineage: Eukaryota; Metazoa; Chordata; Aves; Passeriformes; Thraupidae.